CCUACGGGUGGCAGCAGUGGGGAAUAUUGCACAAUGGGGGAAACCCUGAUGCAGCGACGCCGCGUGAGUGAAGAAGUAUUUCGGUAUGUAAAGCUCUAUCAGCAGGGAAGAAAAUGACGGUACCUGAUUAAGAAGCCCCGGCUAACUACGUGACAGCAGCCGCGGUAAUACGUAGGGGGCCAGCGUUAUCCGGAGAUACUGGGUGUAAAGGGAGCGUAGACGGCAGCAAGAGACUGGAGUGAAAUGCCGGGGCUUAACCCCGGGACUGCUUUGGAAAAUGUGCAGCUAGAGUGCAGGAGAGGUAAGUGGAAUUCCUAGUGUAGCGGUUAAAUGUGUAGAUAUUAGGAGGAACACCAGUGGCGAAGGCGGCUUACUGGACUGUAACUGACGUUGAGGCUAGAAAGCGUGGGGAGCAAACAGGAGUAGAUACCCCAGUAGUC
RNAcentral lists this ribosomal RNA (440 nucleotides) under uncultured bacterium. Its description in RNAcentral is "partial 16S ribosomal RNA". It matches the Rfam family "Bacterial small subunit ribosomal RNA", at positions 338 to 795 of the family's 1533-position model. The record is from RNAcentral.